GACGAACGCUGGCGGCGUGCUUAACACAUGCAAGUCGAACGGAAAGGCUCUGCUUUUGUGGGGUGCUCGAGUGGCGAACGGGUGAGUAACACGUGAGUAACCUGCCCUUGACUUUGGGAUAACUUCAGGAAACUGGGGCUAAUACCGGGUAGGAGCUCCUGCUGCAUGGUGGGGGUUGGAAAGUUUCGGCGGUUGGGGAUGGACUCGCGGCUUAUCAGCUUGUUGGUGGGGUAGUGGCUUACCAAGGCUUUGACGGGUAGCCGGCCUGAGAGGGUGACCGGCCACAUUGGGACUGAGAUACGGCCCAGACUCCUACGGGAGGCAGCAGUGGGGAAUAUUGCACAAUGGGCGGAAGCCUGAUGCAGCAACGCCGCGUGCGGGAUGACGGCCUUCGGGUUGUAAACCGCUUUCGCCUGUGACGAAGCGUGAGUGACGGUAAUGGGUAAAGAAGCACCGGCUAACUACGUG
This 468-nucleotide ribosomal RNA is filed under the name uncultured bacterium. Its description in RNAcentral is "partial 16S ribosomal RNA". It matches the Rfam family "Bacterial small subunit ribosomal RNA", at positions 28 to 507 of the family's 1533-position model. The record is from RNAcentral.